CCCUGGGAUUCUGGUGCUGAUGGCGGUACUUCGGUUCAGGCGGAGGCAUCCUUACCAAGGAAUCUGCUUUUCAAGUAUGCCACCAACAGUGAAGAGAACUGAAAUCAAAUAUAGACCUACUAUUCAAAACUUUGAAAAUGUUUUAAACUGAUGGGUUAUUCUUUUAUGGGGGUUUUCCCCUUGUCCUCCUGAAAUAAUCUCUUAUGACUACUUGACUACAGAAAAAUCAGUUCAAGCAUUUAUAUUUUAGAAGCGUUACCCUGUAGAGUUUCUGCCGUCGGUUGAGACUGCUUGCACUCAAGAGGCACUGUGGCUCUGUGAGUCUCACCUCCCUGUAUCGUGGCUGAUAAACAUCAGACAGAUUGUGAGGACUCCUUUGGUGUCCAUUCUGAUCGAAAUCCAUUAUUAACUCAAGCCAUCUGUAAAAAGUAUCUCACCAUAACAUGCAAUUCUCUCUUCAUGUUGCCUUUUAUUUGAGAAAUGAUGUACCAAGGCAUCACCAUGUCUCCUUUAAUAGAAAGAUAAUGAAGAAGGAAACCUUCUCCAAACAACUUUGUUCACUUCACUCCUUUUAAAAAUGGGGUGAUUGCCGGGCGCGGUGGCUCACGCCUGUAAUCCCAGCACUUUGGGAGGCUGAGGACAGCAGAUCACCUGAGGUCAGGAGUUCAAGACCAGCCUAGCCAACAUGGUGAAACCCCAUCUCUACUAAAAAUACAAAAAUUAGCCGGGCGUGGUGGUGGGCGCCUGUAAUCCCAGCUACCUGAGAGGCUGAGGUAGGAGAAUCGCUUGAACCUGGGAGGUGGAGUGAGCCGAGAUCGUGCCAUUGCACUCCAGCCCAGGCAACGAGAGUGAAACUCUGUUUCAAAAUAAAUAAGUAAAUAAAUGCCAUUGCACUCCAGCCCAGGCAACAAGAGCAAAACCCUGUUUCUAAAUAAAUAAAAUAAAAUAAAAAUGAGGUGAUUGCAGGCUGAAGGUCUUGGUCACUACUGAGUUCUAGUUCUCUCAAGACAAAUAUUCAUAUGGUCAAAA
RNAcentral lists this long non-coding RNA (1029 nucleotides) under Homo sapiens (human). RNAcentral's name for it is "HSALNT0110975". The record is from RNAcentral. Lineage: Eukaryota; Metazoa; Chordata; Mammalia; Primates; Hominidae.